CGCGUAGGCGGUUUGUUAAGUCAGCUGUGAAAGCCCCGGGCUCAACCUGGGAAUUGCAGUUGAUACUGACCGACUAGAGUACGAGAGAGGGAGGUAGAAUUCCACGUGUAGUGGUGAAAUGCGUAGAUAUGUGGAGGAAUACCGGUGGCGAAGGCGGCCUCCUGGCUCGAUACUGACGCUGAGGUGCGAAAGCGUGGGGAGCAAACA
RNAcentral lists this ribosomal RNA (207 nucleotides) under uncultured bacterium. RNAcentral's name for it is "partial 16S ribosomal RNA". It matches the Rfam family "Bacterial small subunit ribosomal RNA", at positions 568 to 774 of the family's 1533-position model. The record is from RNAcentral.